This 330-nucleotide ribosomal RNA is filed under the name uncultured bacterium. Its description in RNAcentral is "bacterial SSU rRNA". It matches the Rfam family "Bacterial small subunit ribosomal RNA", at positions 568 to 898 of the family's 1533-position model. The record is from RNAcentral.
CGCGUAGGUGGUAGUGCAAGUCUGAGGUGGAAUCCCAGGGCUUAACCCUGGAACUGCCUUGGAAACUGCAUUACUUGAGUCAGUGAGGGGAGGGUAGAAUUCCUGGUGUAGCGGUGAAAUGCGUAGAUAUCAGGAGGAAGGCCGGUGGCGAAGGCGGCCCUCUGGCGCUGAACUGACACUGAGGCGCGAAAGCGUGGGGAGCAAACAGGAUUAGAUACCCUGGUAGUCCACGCCCUAAACGGUGGGUACUAGGUGUAGGGCUCGUAAGGGUUCUGUGCCGAAGCGAAAGCAUUAAGUACCCCGCCUGGGGAGUACGGCCGCAAGGUUGAA